AUUGAACGCUGGCGGCAUGCCUUACACAUGCAAGUCGAACGGAAGCACGGGUGCUUGCACCUGGUGGCGAGUGGCGAACGGGUGAGUAAUACAUCGGAACGUACCUUAUCGUGGGGGAUAACGCAGCGAAAGCUGUGCUAAUACCGCAUACGCCCUGAGGGGGAAAGCGGGGGAUCGCAAGACCUCGCGCGAUUAGAGCGGCCGAUGCCUGACUAGCUUGUUGGUGGGGUAAAAGCCCACCAAGGCGACGAUCAGUAGCUGGUCUGAGAGGACGAUCAGCCACACUGGGACUGAGACACGGCCCAGACUCCUACGGGAGGCAGCAGUGGGGAAUUUUGGACAAUGGGGGCAACCCUGAUCCAGCAAUGCCGCGUGAGUGAAGAAGGCCUUCGGGUUGUAAAGCUCUUUUGUCAGGGAAGAAACACCGGCUCUAACACAGUCUGGGAAUGACGGUACCUGAAGAAUAAGCACCGGCUAACUACGUGCCAGCCGCCGCAGUAA
Molecule: ribosomal RNA, 501 nt
Filed under: uncultured bacterium
Lineage: Bacteria
Description: partial 16S ribosomal RNA
Rfam family: Bacterial small subunit ribosomal RNA
Source: RNAcentral